This 73-nucleotide transfer RNA is filed under the name Desmophyllum pertusum. RNAcentral's name for it is "Lophelia pertusa tRNA". It matches the Rfam family "tRNA". From Rfam's summary of the family: Transfer RNA (tRNA) molecules are approximately 80 nucleotides in length. The record is from Rfam by way of RNAcentral. Lineage: Eukaryota; Metazoa; Cnidaria; Anthozoa; Scleractinia; Caryophylliidae.
GGCUUCAUAGCUCAGUGGUAGAGCGUUUGCACUGGAAUCGCAAAGGUCAUGGGUUCGAGUCCCGUUGGAGCCU